UGGAAAGACCUGACAGAACUGAAAGAAUUUGAUUAUCUGUGGAAUGAUAUGUUGAAGUUAAGGAUUAUUUGUGCUUAGCACCUUUCCCACUUUCCAUGAACCACACUUUUCAUUCUUUAUUACCUCGUAUCGUCCUUACUUUUGAUAUGAUAUACACAAUAUUUGUAAUACAAAAAUCUAGGCUGCCUGUUCUUUAUUAUUCAUAGUUAGCUCAUUUUACUACUCCUCUUCCUUUUGUUUGUUAAUCAGUGCUUGACUCUUAUCUUAUUAAGAGAUGGAACAGUCAAAACUGAGAUUCAUGUCAGAAAUAUAUAAUUGUUCACUAAAGGUUUCCUCAGCUCUGGUCUAAACCUACUUGCCUGGAAAGGAGCAUUGUCCAAACACCCUGCUGCUACUCCUUGGAUGACUGCUCCUAUCACUUGGUAAUCUAGAAGCCAUUGAGGGGCAGGGAUGUCUGUUAUUUAAACUAGUAAAUGUAAACAAGAAGACCCAUUUUUGUCAUGAUUUAGUGGUAGUAUGUUUGCUUAAUGUAAAGGAGCACUUUUAGCGAUAGUAAGUCGCUAAGUUUGUGUCCUGGAUUGGUGGUUUUGGACAUACUUGUAAAAAGCAUGAGACCGUAAGUGUGGAAAACCACACCACUGGUUGUGAACUCCCAGCAACUGACUUCCUUCUUUGUGUCCUGGCAAAGAGGAUCUGUUGAGACCAAUUUGGGUUGUACUUGUGCUUUAAUGGUUCCUGUCCAUCUUGGGCUGUCUGUUAGAGUAAAUUGCAGAAUCCUGCUAUUAUCUGUUAGGCAUCCAAUUGUGUGACUUGUACAACAGUCAAGUUGAGACUUUCUCACAGAAAAACCAUUCCUAACCUUAUGGUGAAUCUCCCAUCUGAAUCUGUUUGCAUUGCCAUGUCCAGCACAAACACUGCAGCUCUUGCUCCUGUUCUCUGUUGCAGCAGAGGGGAGCAGCGAAGCCUGCCUGGCUUCCAGAGCUGUCCGAAUGCAACAGCAUCAGCUGUAAUAGCCAAGAUGAGUUCCAAGGGAAAGGAAGCUGCUAAGCUGGAGAACAAUAUUUAAUUUGGCAGUAGAUUUUAUGUUUGUAUUUCAAGGGAACUGUUAGCCAGUAUUAUGGGGGGGCAGGGAGGUAGGGUUGGUAUCACAGUUCAGGAAAUGCAUGGAGCUUUGAAACUUAAGUAAUAAGAAAACCAAUCACCUCUGUGACCAGAGGUGGAUGUGCAGGCCUAGGUUUAAAGCUUAGUCACGAGAUGAAAGAAGUCAUCUGUCAAUUCUUCCAAAGUCUGAUCAUUCCUGUAAAUCACUCCUGGAGCCUGUUUUUAACAGGUGACUGAGCUGAAGCUCUGAAGGGUUCUGUUGGAAACAAGUACUGCAAAAACGUAUCUGUAAUCUAGAUUUUAUCCAUUUCUGAAUACGUGUUAAACUUGUAAUACUAGGCAUUGUGUUCCCAUCUGUUAAUGUAAUUUUGUAGACAAUAACUUUAAAGAGUUUUGGCUUGUAAUUUGAUCUUUAAAUGUUAUUUCAUAAUGUAAUACGUUUGAUACUUAUUGUUUUUCUGAAAAACUCUUUUUACUCACAAACUGCCCAUUCUUUCUUCUUUUCAGUGAAGUUCAUACUGUUGAGGCUUCUCAUAGGCUGCCUUGUUAGCGUCAAGUAUUCCACUGAAACUGAAAUGAGUAAUGUUGUUCUCAGUAUGAAAAUGCAUGUUAGUUUGAGGGUGUUUUAACCUGCUUUUCAAUUAAAAUGCACCUUACUAUAAAUAAAGGUACUGCCCUGACUUUCUCACUUUGGCAAAAGUUUUUUCCAGAAGACUUCCCCAAGAAGUCAGAAGUUGUCAGGUUCGUAAGUGAAAGUGAAAGUAACUGCAAAUCAAAUGAGACCUGAACUUUUGAGGGCCUGCCCUGUGAUACAGUGUGCCCGUGUGUCUCAUGAAAAGCUGUGCUGGUCCAUUUGCAUGUCCAAGUUUUUUGGCUCCUUUUUGUUAAGGAGUGGGCUCCAUAUUUGAUCUACAGGUUAUUUGUUUGGGGCUGAAGUUCGGUAAUAUUGUUUAAACACUCAAAAAUUUAGGCAUAGGGUUGGUCUGUAAACUGACCUGUUGUUUAGCUGACAGUUUUGUUGAGGUCUCUGGUUCAAAUAACUAAAGCCGUAUUAUGUUUUUCAAGAUUAACAUACAAAACAACUCCUUUUUCUUUUGUAUCUUUGAACCCAAUUUGUCCAUAUGCAGAAGAAGUUGGUUUUAUUGGAGCUCUUUUUGCAAAUAAAUUCUGCCACUUGUAUGUGUUUCUUGUUUUUGGUGAAAGGCAUAUCUUGUUGCCCUUCAGUCUGCAGCCUGUGUUUUUUUUUUUUUUUUUUUUAAAAAAAAAAAGCACUAGAUUUAUUUUUAGAAGUUCAGACUCUUAGGAAUGUGACAAUAUCACAUGAGUAGGCCAGUUACUGGAGAAAGAGCCAUACACACUGCAAAAUAUGGAAUAAUGAGGCUAGGAGCCUGUGCUGUCGCCAUUCAGUUUAACAUAGCUGGAAAUAUAAGAAAGUAAGCAAAUUAUUUGAUGAGUUAGCAGUGAACCUGGCUGUAACAAUUUUACAGAAGCAAGGGCAGCCAACAGCUUGUCAAUUUGAUGGGUGGCCCCCAAAGUUUUUUUUUUAAAAGGAAAUCACUCAAAUCUAUUGCUUUCGUAGGAUUUACCAGCGUGUAUCAGUUCUCAGCUACUGGCCUGGGAACCACCAGUGGAAUGUAAAGCCUGUCUAUCAUCUGUAAACUGAAGUAUUUUCAAUAACCGUGCAAUUCAGCAGCAGAAGAGGAGUAAUUAAAUGUCUUAUAAAAUGCUGAAGAAAACAAUUAGCAAGCAGAAAAGUUGGAGAUCAAUGUAGAAGUAUCUUCUCAGUGGUCCCCGGACUAGGCAACAUGACAGUUAUCUCCCUAAUUUCUCAUAAGUGAGGCUACCCUGACUGACUUCAGUUACAAACAUCCUUGCCUGUGCUGCUGCAUCCUGCUGUGCAGAACUCGCAGUGUGUGCACUCAUGGAGUUAGGGCUGUAUUGGACCAGAGAGAUUAUCGUGUUACAAAGGAGAAAUGAAAUAAAGAUCUUACCCACGUCCUGGGCUCACAGAAGGGCUCCAAGAGGAAGGAUCUCCAGCCCUUAAAUGGGGUCUAGGAGGGGUGCAGCCAGGCUCCACCCCUUCUGGUCACUCAGGUGAAAUUGCAUUCACCUGUGCCCCUGCAGCUGACUCAACACUCGCCUCAGGUGGUCAAUCAGAGGUUCAGGCCGUGAUUCAACUGUUCCCAUACACCUAAACAGAAAUGAUUCUCUUAUCUCACAUGUGAGAAUAAAAUAUGAUACAAACUAUUCUGUGACUGAGGAAAGAUAUCUGAGUGGUGCAUAGUGAGUCAACACAUCACAAGUCCAUUUUUCCAUGUCUGUAUGGGAAAGGAGGGAGGGAAAGUGAUGUUUUGAGUAGGAGGCUUCUUUCGGAUUUUUCUCUUCAUUUUAGGUGAAGUCAGUGUUCUGCAUUUGUUAAUGGCAAAAAUCAGUUCAGGAACUGGUUCUAAUUUAAUGAAGCCUUUAUGUAAUUGAUUUUUUUCUUCUAGUACAGAAUAUUGUUGCAAGAAUUCUUUCCUUAAACUUUUUAAUUAAGUAGAAAUAAUUACCAAUAUGUAGUCAUAUUUUUGAUAAAAUACUUGGUGUAUUCUUCCAUGUGACUUGAGUUCUAUAGAGUUCCCCUGUAAUGCUCGGAAUACAAAUAUUUCCAGAACACCAGUGAUUGCUUUUUAGUUCAGAUAACUUACUGUAAGGUAGUUGGUUAAGAGGAGCAUAAGAACAAACAUAGGGGGGUCAGGCUGUGCAUCCAUUUACCUUAGCAACCUUCUUUAGAUCAUCAUGCUCACUCAGCAUCAGGUGCUUAGAGAAGAACAUGAGAGCAGAGAAAGCAUACAGUGAUUGGUCUUUACCACCUUAUUUGAUCUAACUUUCAGCAGACUCUUGAAUCAGUGGAAACAUAUGUAUAUAACAUGCUUUAGUAGAUUAUGCUUUUGUUGAUUCAUGUAGCAAGAAAUGUUUCUAGAGUCUAGUAAUACUCUAUUCUGUGUGGCUUGUACAGAUACUGUCAUUGUUUUGAAAAUUGUAUCUAUUAUUUGCUGCCCAACUGUACUGUUAGGAGAAAAAGCAAAUGAUGAUUUCCUAUGCCUCUUUUCCAUGUUUUCCGUGAUUUUAUAGACCUUCUGUUUCUUAUCAGCUGUCUGCUUCAGAGCAAAGGGCUCUUAAUCCCUGGCAGAUACUGAAAGAACUUCCUGCUUGCCUGUUCCUGUUUCCUUCGCUGUCAUAAAUGUUCAUACAGUCACACAAAGACAGACUGAGGAAACAAUCCAUGUAAAAAAUGCUGUUCCCCAUCUGUAUGUACUUCUGACAGUUCAGCUCAGCCAGCCCAUCCCACUGUGUGGUGCAUGGGCAUGUGAUGGCAGGAACAGGAAUAAACUGUGGAGACCUCCUUAGCUAUGUGGGCUUCAGCCCUGUCUGCUCUCUGAAAACUUCUUGGUGUUGUUCUCUCACCUGGUAUUAAGUGAAGGUUGUUUGCUUUGUCAUUGAUUAUACUCUUAAAAACAAGAACAACAACAAAAAGCAACAGAACAUGCAUAGCGAAAUUGUUUCAAAGCAGUAGACCAAACCAUAAAGGUAAAUUGGUCUUACGCUGCAACUUUUUCUUUAGUGUUGAUGCUAGUUCAGUCUUUUUCCUAUCAAACUGUCAAAUUCUCAUUAAAUGUUAGGAAUACAUCACCUCUGAGACUUUAGAGUCUCAUCCAACUUGGUCAAAACUGAUGUAUGGUUAAUUGGUGUAAUUUAUUUGGAGAGGAACGGUAGCUACCAUGACUGCAGAAGUCUGACUUGCUUAGGAAAACUUGGAGGGGGAUGGGAGGAGAUGAAUUCUUUAUUUAAAAGUCAGAUGGCUUGUUUGGAGGAAUCUUCAUGUGCUUUUUAUUUCCCUUUCCUGUCUAUGUUGUUUUCCUUGGUUUUAGCAGUAUGAUGAUCUCUUCAGAUCAUACUGAAAAUUGCCUCUAACAUUUAUUUCUAAACAUGCUGAUUUCUUCUGCUUCUAUAAAUUUCACUGUACAGCUGGAAUAGCUGUGCUCUGCUAGCUCCACAUAAAACAGAAAUGCAUUUACUAGUUCCAUAACGUUUAUGCUUCUGGAGCUAAGUCAUCUUUGCAUUUGGUGGAGCUUACAGAGGGCUGUUUUCUCAGUAGAGAGACUGGGGAAAAUACAUAAUGCAAAAUCUUCAGGAAUAUUAUUUCUAGUAAGCCACGAAUACCAGAUGGCUUUGAAACCUAUUUAGUUAUCUGUUUUUGUUAAUCUUGCUUUGCUUGCUUGAGACCUCCAAACUUAUUUUCCCCACCUGCAGAUAAAUAUAGGGUCAUAGGAAUCACUGUUUUGGGUCAGGCCAUCUGUUCUUUAAUUAGGACUUGUAACAGAUACUUAGGAUGACUAUGCACAAGAACCUACAGUAGGCUGUCAUGAUAAUAAUAUAUUAAAUUAUAAUAUUAUAUUAAAUUAUAAUAAAUAGGGAAUCUCUCCCUGGGAUCCUGUUAGUUCAGCUUCUGUUGUAAAGCUCAAAGACACUUGUAUCUUUUCCAGGUCUUUAUUUUUAAAUAUUUUCUACUGCGAUGGCAUUUUAUCUUUUGUUCUCUCCUUUAAUGCGAGCAAGCAUUCAGCUUUGCAGUCCUCUAUCCCUCAGCAGUGAGUUCCCUGGGUUAACAUAUGGAGAAGUACCUGUUUAGUUAAUGGUGAAGUUGUUGACUGUCAAUUUAGUUGAACACCUUCUCUGGCUCUGACAGUAUUCCGGAAAGGUAACUCUUCAUCUACCUUUCCUGUGCCAUUUUCUUGGGAAAAUAACUUUAUUUUUGCUGCUUUCUCCCUGCAUGCUGCUACUUCUGUGCUUCUUGUUGUUCUUGGUUCCUAUCUCUGAAAAGCUUUCAGCUGAGCUGCAGUAACUGGAUGGUUCAAAUUUCCCACCAUGCUUCGGUUGAGAAAUCAUUGUUCUUGUCUAUAAGGUAAAAUUUUUCUUAUGCUGCUGAAGGUGUGAAUUCACAGAAAGUACUGUUAGUAUUUUAGGUUUUAUUUGAGGAAGAUAUGUUGUGUUGUAGUAGUAAAGAUGGUUUUGCAAGGGAGGUGUCUAAAUCUGCUACAGUGCUACAGCAAAGUGAAGGGUUCUUAAGGUGCAUGUUUUCAAAGCUGCUUUGAGAGACCAUGGCACUAAACUAAAAGGUGGGGAGAGUUCCUUUUCAGGGCUGGGGGUGUGCCUGUGUUUCUUUUGGCAGUUUUAAAUCCAGAUCGAGAUGCAGCACCAAUGUUAACAUCUUAACAGCAGCUUCCAAGCUAGCGGUUGUGGGCAUGGACCCCCAAAAAACUUAAUGUGCUGGGCUUUUUUUUUGUAUCCUAUACUGGGCUUUUUUUUGUAUCCUAUGCUGAUCUGAAAUAAAAUUCAGUGCAAUUGAUGUAGAAACCAGUUGAUGUAGAUAAAUACUGUAAUUUUAAAUACCUGAGCAAAAGGGAUCUUUAGCCGUCUUUGUUUUUGCCUUUUGCUUUUUUUCGAUGGAGCCUUUUUGUCUGUGGAGUACUGUUUGUGAAGUAUCACCCUCCUUAUAUCACUUAUAUUUUUCUAUAUAGAUUCUUAGAAAACUCAAACUUCAAGGUGAGUGUAAGUUAGUAGCUGAAGGAAUCAAUAGGCUUUGAGUGAAUGGACGUGAAGGGAAAUACGAAAAUUGUGAGGAGGAGGGACAGAUUGAUGUUGGAUACGUUAAUUGAAAAAUGAGGUGUUGAACCUUAUCCUGACUAGCAAAGAAAUGCACUUCUUUUUCUAACCUGCUUAUAAGCAUUAGAGCCGGAAGCCUCUUUUAUGUUGUGCUCUGGUUUCCAAGGAGAUGUGAGAUAUUUCUGAGAAACUGAGAAAUCAUGGAAAGAGGAAUUUUAAAUUGCAUGUCAAACCACAAAAAAUGCAGUGGCAGGGAAGAUUUGCAAUAUGAAGUAUUUUAAGGGUAGAGCUUAGAUCCUAUAUAGCUGAAAUACUUUUUCACCAGUGGUAGUGAUUAGCGUUUAACUGAGAGCUAAAACAGUUUGAUAAACAGCAUUCUUUUCAUUUUUAACUGCUUGGAGAGAAGACUAAGUGCCAAAGAUAAAUAAAUGGUAUUUAUCCUGUCUGGAAAAAUUCUUUAUUCAGAAUUAAAAGCCCUAAAAUCUUACUUUAAAAAAAAAAAAAAAAGAGAUGGUUGAAAAAUGCUGGAGAUAUAGUUCUUGAAAUAGCAUUUGGCUUGAGAGUGUUGAAUGGAUAGGUACUACAGACAGAGCAGUUCAGGAAUGUACUGUGUCUCGGAUGCUAGAAGCUACUUUAGAUUAUACAAAGUGUUUAAGUCAACUUCUUGAGCAAACUGGAAACUUUCACUUGACAACAGCAUGUGUGUAGCAUCCAACGUUUUUGCAAGCAAGAGAUAAGGCACACUGUGAUAAAACCUACUCAAAUGCUGGCUUAUGCUUUGGAGCUCUGGGUAGCUCCAGUAGGUCCUAUGAAGCCGAAAGAGUGGACUAAUUUUGCUAAAUAUAUACAUGUGCCGUAUUCUCUGAGAGAACUUGCAAAUUAAUAACCAAGAGAUGGACUUCUUUGUGCUGCCUUGACACUCGUCAUGUUCUAGAAUAUUUUAGUGCAGUGUUGCGAAGAUGUGAUUCUGCAGCAGACUUUCCGACACAAGGAGAGACUGGGUAGCAUCUGUGCUUACGUACUGCAAACUAUAUGCUUUGUGCUGUAUGUUAUAUAUAGCCUUAAGAUUUGUCAUUGCUGUAGAUGCAAUAUGGUUCCCCUGGCUUUAUUUCUGUUUCAUCUGUUAAUGUGAAUCAUGUCUUCACUUGUGUACUCACGUUGUCACUAAGUAGGCUGAUCAGCAUCUUCAUCGCUCUUGUAUUAUUUCUGCAUCUCAGGUGUGGCUAGCAGGCUGGUAGGGCAUGUAGCAAGCAAUCUGGGAGAGUCUGUCUGAACCUCUGAAAGUUCAUUGGGAUUGGUAAGUGGAAACUGCAAAUGCUGUCAUUUGGAGUAGAAGUCAAGCUGUAAGUCUGGGGGAUUGCAGGCUUUUAGGUAGUAUUGCUGGGAAAAACUUUGGCUUCAGUCGAAGUGUAAGUAAGGUGGUAAAUCAGUCAAGAAAGUACUGUGUGUAUUGAAGCCUUCUCUCCCCCAGUUCUCCUCACUUGGGGGAGGGGGCCAACGUUGGCAUUGUUUGCUCUCCAGCUACCCGUAGUUCUGUUUCUUGUUUAUUUGAUAAAUUAAUAAAGCAGGCAAUAAAAUAAAAGGCAGAGAUGCACGAGUUAGUAAAAUAAAUACAUAAAAUUUAUAAAAAUGUAUUUUUAGAAUGCAAGAAAAGUAUUUUGUUUGUGUUGGUGAAAAUGUUCGUGAUAUUGUAUUGGAAAGUUGUUUGGGGAAAAUAAUACAAGUCCACAAAAAGAAAUAAAAAGCCAUAAUAAAUUGCAGAGCUUUUGCGUGUACAGGUGAAGGAUGGGUUAUUGAUGCAGAAAAGACAUCUUUACUGGUUGCAUAUGACUGCAGUUCUCACUUUACACAUGCUUCUUUUUAAAGCAUCAGGCCUCUGAGCUACAAAAUGAUGUGGGUUUUACCUUUCCUUGAACGACAUGAUAGUAGAAAAAUAGCAGAAAACUUGGUUGUUUCCCACAACUGCACUUCCUAUUUCUGCUCAUAAAUGAGUUGAUUUUGACUUUGAAUAUGUAUAAAUGGUGAAAGUAGAGGAAGUAAUACAGGGGCCAAGUGGAGAAGAGUAUCUUUUUUUUCUGUUGGUGUUGGCACCUGGGUUACGUAGGGCACAACGGGCUCUCGUGCCUCAGUCAGCACUUCAGCUGUGCCGCCUUCUUCCAGGCCUUCCCUGAAGACAGCAAAGUGAAGAUUAUUUAAUAAGCAAGGUUCCAGUGAAACCUCAAAGAUGAGGGGAAUUCCAAAAGGAAAAUAAAAAACUCAUCUGUCAGGAUGGAUUCUCCGGCUGUCAUUCAGAGCAGAAAGCUGCAGAAUGCUUGUGGCCAGCUACAUGAAUGUGAGCGUGUGAAACUUUUCCACCCCCUCGCGUGCGUAACAGAACAUGCUUAGAUGAGAAUGGUUUAGGCAGGCCACAGUUAGUUAACGUACACUUUGUGUUUAAAACUUUUUUGAAAGAAAAUAGUUGUUUUUUUAAAUCAGUUUUAUUCUGAAGGACUUAGGAAGUUUUUACAGUGCUGAGGCGUUGCCUCUUCAGUUGUCUCCUAUGUGAAACUGUCAUCAGGUUUGUUUAGAAAUAUGAUUUUGCUGCUGUAAACAUUUAAUUUGUCAAAGCACGUGGGAAUGGCCCUUCUUAAAUGCAGAAUCUUUUUAGUAAUUUUAUCCUUGAAGACUAAUGAGUAGGAUAUCUCAAAGCACACGGAUCUUGUCCAAGGAAGGGUCUUCACUGCAGUGUGUGCUUCGAUGUAAAGUCAAAGGAACUACUGUCUGCAUUAGAGUUAGCAAUGAAAAUAGUCAUCACAAUUCUGCAUUUUUAUUUAUUUAUUUAUUUAUUUUGCUUUAGAAACCAAUAUUCUGAACUUGACAGAGAUUUUGCAGGAAGAAGUGGCCAUCUAAGGAACUAACUUAGGAUUUAUAUGAAAGUUGUCUAAACAGCUUCCAGCUAAUUGCGUGCUGCAGUUCACACAGCACUGUUCUCUUUGGGUCUCGCUUCCAGCAGCACCCCGGAGCCACGCUGCAGCCCUUGUUCUGCAUUGGACACAUCUGCUCAUUUUCUCUUCCCCCUCGUCAGCUGCUGCCAGUGUGGAGUUGGAUAAGGUGUCAGUUUCAGUUUGUCUUAAUGAAGCCAUCCAUUAAAUGCAUUCUUCAAAUCCAGACGAGUCUGUCUGUUGUUCUCUGCAGGAGUUUGGCUCGGUGAGGCAGGAUUGCUGGCACUGCCACACAGCCAGGCACUGCGACACCCAGAGCUGGUCUGAGUUGGUCAAGCUUUGCUUAUUUAGCAGAGCCUUUAUAGGUACAACUUUAAUAAAUACCAGGGAGUAAAUAUCUUUUUUUUUUUUUGUCUCCAGAAGGAUUUGAGGGAAAACUAGCCAUUUUUUUUUCUUUGUCCCCAUUGAGUGGUGUUUGGGCAGUUUUGCAUGUAGUGAUCAUUCUGUCAUUGAAAUCCUCCUUAUCUCUUGCAAAAGUCCACUUUGAAAGGGCAACAAAUCGGUUGUUGGAUUCCUGUUCUCACACACUGGGAAACAGAAAUCCUUAGCUGGGGUGCUUCAUAAGCUUUCCUGCUUACAGUAAGGUCUUUGAGGCUGGCCUUUACUAGACAUUGGCUUUGAAAAGAAAAUACUGAUGAGUGAUGAGAAGAAAUGUACCUGCCUGUAGAAAAACAUGUUAUGUGAAGUAAUAGGGCGCUAUAGUACAACAGGAAUAUGCGGUGAUGUGGGCUAACGUGUACAAAAGUACUGGUGAAACAGCAUUGCUUUCUUAAUUAAGGGACAUUUUUCCCUCGGAGAUCUUAAAGGUGGAGUGACUGCAGUGAGACAUCUGCACCUGCCUUUUCUCCUUGCCAACCUCCUUGAGGCUAUUCAUUACUGCGCUGUUAGGGAGUCACCUUUAUGGCGCUCCAUGCAUAGCAUUACCUGUAGUGUUUGAAUUAUCAUUCAGUUUGUGAAAUGAGAACCUCGCCGAAGCCUUUGGAACUAAUUAAAUGCCAUCCUCCUGGGAGCUGUCCUCCGUAAGCAGGAACAACAGAAGCAUGGUGCUGUGCUGAGCCCUUGAGAGGCUGAAGCGUUUCCCCAGCUGCUGCUUCUGCCUGGGCUGACGACUUGUAGCCAUUUUAUCACUCACAUUUACAUGGCAGAGCUCUAAGCAGAAACCUCAGGCCGCACUACUGCUUAAUGUAUAAUAAAUAAUAUUUGCUAUCUUUAAAAGGCUAAAUGAAAUGUGCAUUCUGUGCUUUUAACAAGAGGUUCUGUAAACAUUUUAUACAGCUUCAAAACCCAUCUAAUCUUUAAUGGGUUGUUAAGAGAUCUCAUUAAUAAAAUGUAUUUUCUUACUAAUGCCGUCACCAGCAGAUUUAAGUAAAAAUGCUGUGGCUGAAAGCUGUUGAACAAUUUCCUAAUGGAGCGCUGUUGAGAAUAAACCAAAAGUGCUGUAGAAGCAGUGUUUGACAGUUGGAGGAGGCCAAAGGAAAUUUGUUAGUGAUGCCAAAUCUGGAAGGUGACUGUAUGCAGAUCAGGACCUGGUGGGGAUCAGGGAGCCUUUUGCUGCUCAUUCGAGUCGUCUGCUUCCUGAGAAGUUAAUCUGAUGCUUCUGACUUCUUACAGCUGCUUGACCUGUGAGAGCUAAUUUUAGCUGCUUUAUGGUAUACAACAGGCAUGUCACAUAUUACUCUCUUUUUUUUCUUCUUCUUCUUAUAUUUAUGGCAGAAUUAGGGAAGCAUUUCACUGAAUUCUAACUAAUUCUCUGAACAAAUAAAAUACUACGAAACAAAAAACAGUUUUAUUUUCCUAGUUUUUUUUCCCUUGGCUAUUUAGCUUUCAUCAGUGUGCUGUUUGCCAUCAGUCCUCCAUUCAGUACAGUGUCUUUCAGUUGCUAAUAUGAAUGGACAGUGGAGAAGAUAUUUCCGUGGCUCUGUAUCUAUUCCUUCCUAUACUUGAAGAGUGGUGUUAAGAUCUGUGUCCUCAACGAAACUUUGAAAAAGUGACUGAGAUUAUUGCUUCUCUGUAGGGAAAUGAUGUUUUCAUCUUCUGCUUUUAGCUCAGUGUUAUGCUGCUGUAAGGAUUGCUCGCUGUUAUCCCUGUGGGUUGCUCUGGUGAAAGUGUGUUUGUAGGACAGGCCCACAAACUUUUAAGUGUGUCUUAAAGGAAUUGCUGAGAGUGUGUUUCCAGUCCCUUUCAAAGAUACAGCGUGCUUCAUCCACAAGCAUUCAGAGUUUGAAACCAUAGAUUCAAACAAACAAAAUGCCCUUCUGUAAAGUGGGUAACAUCUAUUAAUGAAUGCAUGUGCAGUGUCACAGUGUUAAGGAGAUCAAUUCCACUAGAUGCUCAGCUGUCUCUUGGCCUCCAGCUGCUGCUUUCCCUACGCUUCACACCUAAAUUGCAUGAAAAGUAUUUGUGGCAGUAGGGAAGGUGGAGUUAGGUACAUUUGAGGCAUCUUCCACUAAAAUAAGUAGAUAUUUCUUGUGCACUCUUCAGAAUAGUUUAAUCUGAGUGCAUUUUGAAAUUGCACUGUAAUAUUAAAAGAAAAGCAGUACUUACAAUCAGAAACUCCAUCCACUUCUUUUUAUCUACCACGUAAUUUCUUCUGGCAUAUCUUCUUAUGCAGUGUUUUGUUGGUUUUUUUUUUUUU
RNAcentral lists this long non-coding RNA (12360 nucleotides) under Gallus gallus (chicken). Lineage: Eukaryota; Metazoa; Chordata; Aves; Galliformes; Phasianidae. The record is from RNAcentral.